Molecule: non-coding RNA, 3062 nt
Organism: Cucurbita pepo subsp. pepo (vegetable marrow)
Lineage: Eukaryota; Viridiplantae; Streptophyta; Magnoliopsida; Cucurbitales; Cucurbitaceae
Source: RefSeq, a predicted model, not a curated record
UUUGUCUGUCUGUCUGUCAAAUCUUAUGUUUUAAGAUUUCUAAAAUACUUCGUUCUUUUUUUUUUUGUCAAAUCUCUUGUUUAAGAUUUCUAAAACUACUUUGUUCUUUUUUAUGUCAAAUCUCUUGUUUAAGAUUUUUAACCAAACACUUAGUGUUAUAUCAAAUAGUAUGAGCGUUCUAGAGUUUGAAGAUUAGUGGAAGAUGAUCUUCAACUUCCUAGUAUGUUCAUAUCACUUGGUAAAAUAUGAUUUUACGUGAAAGAUUAUUUGAGUUUUCAAAAUUGAUGAGUGUCCUAGGUUUUGAAUGUUCUCUUUGGUCAAAUUUCUUGUUUAAUAUUUCUAAUAUACUUUUUUUGUCGUCAAAUCUCUUGUUUAAGAUUUUUAACCAAACAUUUAAGCGUGAUAUCAAAUAGUAUAAGCGUUCUAGAAUUUGAAGAUUAGCGGGAGAUGAUCUUCAACUUCUUAGUAUGUUCAUAUCAUUUGGUAAGAUAUGAUUUUGCCUUACAAGAUUUCUACUAUUCUAUUUCGAUUUUUCAAAAUCGAUGAGUGCUCUAGGUUUUGAAUGAAUGUUCUCUUAACUUCUUUUUUUUUUUUUUAAUCAAAAUCUCUUGUUUAUGAUUUCUAAUGUACUUUUUCAUCCAAUAUCUUGUUUAAGUUUUUUAACCUAACACUCCGAGUGUGAUAUCAAAUAAUAUGAGCGUUCUAGAGUUUGAAGAUUAGCGGGAGAUGAUCUUCAACUUUCUAGUAUGUUCAUAUCAUUUGGUAAAAUAUGAUUUUACGUGAAAGAUUAGUUGGGUUUUCAAAAUUGAUGAGUGCUCUAGGUUUCGAAUGUUCUUUUAACAUUUUUUUUUUUUUUGGGUCAAAUUUCUUGUUUAAGAUUUCUAGUAUACUUUUUCGUCGUCAAAUCUCUUGUUUAAGAUUUUUAACCAAACAUUUAAGCGUGAUAUCAAAUAGUAUGAGCGUUCUAGAGUUUGAAGAUUAGCGGGAGAUGAUCCUCAACUUCUUAGUAUGUUCAUAUCAUUUGGUAAGACAUGUGUUAAAGAUUUCUAUUAUUCUAUUUGGAUUUUCAAAAUUGAUGAGUGCUCUAGGUUUUGAAGGUUCUCUUAACAAUUUAUUUAUUUAUUUAUUUAUUUUUUUUUUUUUUUUGUCAAUUCUCUCUUGUUUAAGAUUUUUAAUAUACUUUACCAUCAAAUCUUUUGUUUAAGAUUUUUAACCAAACACAUAAGUGUUAUCUCAAAUAGAUGUUUAAGAUUUGUUUAUAUCAUUUGGUAGUAGGAUAUAAAUUUAUCUUAUAUUAAAGAUUUCUACCAUACUAUUUAAGUUCGCAAAAUUGACUCUAAGUUUUGAAUGUUCUCUUAUACGUUUUUGUCAAAUCUCUAGGUUCAAUUUUUUAUUCGUUUAAGAUUUCUUAUCUACUUAAACACAAGUGUGAUAUGAAAUAGUAUGAGCGUUCUAGAGUUUUAAGAUUAGUGGGUGAUGAUCUUCAACUUCCUAGUAUGUUCGUAUUAUUUGCUAAGAUAUUAUUUUGCCUCGUGUCAAUGAUUUCUACUAUUCUAUUUGGAUUCUCAAAAUUGAUAAUUACUCUAGGUUUUAAAGAUUAACCGGGUAUGAUCUUUCAAAUCUUCCAUGAAAUUAGCGGGAGACGAUCUUACUUAAUUUUUUUUUUUGGUCAAAUCUCUCGUCUAUCAUACUAUUUGGGUUUCUAACCUUUCUUUAGGUUUGUCUUAAAAAUAAAAAGUGUUUUAGAGUUUUGAAGUUGAGCGAGAAGCGAUCUAAAAAAUAUCUAGAGAUUUCAAAAAAUUGGAUAAUUAGAGAUUUUAAGAAGGUAAUUUGAAUAUUAGCUAGAGAUGAUCUUCAAAUCUAUAUUGAAGCAAUUUCAAUAAAGGCCACGUACACAAGUUGGAGAAGAUGAACAUACAGUUAAUGGUUAGUUUUUCAACCUUUUCUGUAACGAAUUUAAAAUUAGCCAUUUUCAUCGGUUUUAUUGUUUGACUUUAUUUUGGGCAUAUUGAGAAAUUUUGGAGAAGUUUGGAAUAUCCUCGAAGACCCGAAACAAGCUCCAAAAGUCUACAAUCAAGUAACCAUAUGGAGCAAGUUUCUACGAAAUUACUUGUAGGAGUCGAUUAGGUUUGAAGGCAAUGAUUGAGUAUUAUGUUUAUGAGCCUAGUUUGACUUAGUUUCAUGAGAAUUGUGCUUAGAUGAUGUGAAUAGUUUACCACUUAAUUAUAUUUACCGUCAUAUAGCUUCUGCAUGCAUGAUCUUGUGAACUCGGGUAGAUAAUUGGACUUACAUGAGGUUGGAUUAUUAUCACUUAAUAAGCAUGAUGAGCAUGUUGUAUGUCUUUAUUCAUUGUUAUGCAUUGAUUUAAGGUUUGGAUAGCCCGUUAUUGCCCAGUCAUGAGUUGAACUAAUUGCCAUGUACAUAGAGUGCUAAUUAUGGUUUCCAUAGACUAUGAGUUACUGUUUCACGUAUUUUGGUGCUAGCACCUAGUCAUGAGUUCCAUAGUCUUCUUGGGUUGACUAGGUACCUUGUAGGGACGGAUGCGAGUUGCAGUUCAUAUCGGUAGUUUUAUGUUCUAGCUUGGAAGGAAAUUUUAGUCAUAUCGGUAGUUUUGCUAGGUACCUCACUCACUCGAUUACUUGGUCGAGGAGGAAAUGUGGCUACGAGCCAAACUGCAUAAGACCCAACUGACACUCUCUAACUAAAGGAGAGGGUCUACAGGACCUAACAACAACCUAAUGUUCUAAUACCAAACAACAGUUCUGGUCUAUACAUCAAUUUGGUCUGCACUGUGUGUUAACUUUUUUCAUCGAAAAGCAACAGUAUUUGGAAACACUAAACAAUUUGAUGAGAAAUUUACCGUGGAAUAUUAGUAUACUUGUAAUAUUAGUGUAAUAUUAGUGUACUUGUAGGAUACCAGGACGGCAUAUGUUUCAUUAGUUGGGUUCAGGUUGUUUCAUGGACCCAUAAUUUAGCAGCAUAUAUUAAAAAGCAUAUUGAUGUUAUUCAUGUUCUUAAUCUGCCAAUGUUUUACUUUUUUGUUGAAACAUUGAAAUUGUUGA